GGCUCAGAUUGAACGCUGGCGGCAUGCUUUACACAUGCAAGUCGAACGGUAACAGGUCUUCGGAUGCUGACGAGUGGCGAACGGGUGAGUAAUGUAUCGGAACGUGCCCAGUAGUGGGGAUAACUACUCGAAAGAGUGGCUAAUACCGCAUGAGAACUGAGGUUGAAAGCGGGGACCUUCGGGCCUCGCGCUACUGGAGCGGCCGAUAUCAGAUUAGGUAGUUGGUGGGGUAAAGGCCUACCAAGCCGACGAUCUGUAGCUGGUCUGAGAGGACGACCAGCCACACUGGGACUGAGACACGGCCCAGACUCCUACGGGAGGCAGCAGUGGGGAAUUUUGGACAAUGGACGCAAGUCUGAUCCAGCAAUGCCGCGUGCAGGACGAAGGCCUUCGGGUUGUAAACUGCUUUUGUACAGAACGAAAAGGCUCUGGUUAAUACCUGGGGCUCAUGACGGUACUGUAAGAAUAAGCACCGGCUAACUACGUG
RNAcentral lists this ribosomal RNA (487 nucleotides) under uncultured bacterium. RNAcentral's name for it is "bacterial SSU rRNA". It matches the Rfam family "Bacterial small subunit ribosomal RNA", at positions 21 to 507 of the family's 1533-position model. The record is from RNAcentral.